UACUAUUAUAAGAAAACUUUAUCAUUUAAUUUGAAGCAUAUUAAGAGUGAAAGUUCUUAAAUUUUAAAUUUUGAUAAUAAGAUAUAAAUGAGUAUAUGAUCAAAAUCGUCUAAUUAAAUUAAAUUAUUACACUAGGUAAUCAAGUACACAACAUUAAUCUCCUUAUUACAAGAAGCAAAUUCCUAAAAAUCAAGUACACAACAUUAAAAAAAAAACUAAUUCUAGUUAUAAUGAUGUGAAGGUGUAAUCUUGAUAACUAAGCCAGGAAAAACAUCAUCAGGGUCAUGAAUAUGAGGAUUAUUCUCGACAAUAAAAGGGUCACCACACUUAUCACUAAUUGUGUGAAGUGUCUCACCUUCACCAACCACAUAGAUUUCAUCACAAUAUGGUCGUUUGGACAAUACGAGGUUUCUUUCUAUGAUGUUGUGGUAAUGAUUUUGAUGAAUCAUAGAUGUGUCUCGAAAUAUACAUAGAAGUAUAAGUGCUACAAGAACAAUAGAACAAUACCAUGAAGCUGGAUCGGCUAUGUCUUUUGAAUUUAGAGAGAUCACUCCUUUUCUUGAGUGGAAAGAAGCCAUGAUGAUUAAGAAAUUGAAGAGAGAAAUUAAGAUUGAUGAGAGAAAAGAGUGCUUUGGAAAUUGUUAUUAUAAAUAAAGAAAAGAAGAAAAAA
Molecule: long non-coding RNA, 670 nt
Filed under: Lathyrus oleraceus (garden pea)
Lineage: Eukaryota; Viridiplantae; Streptophyta; Magnoliopsida; Fabales; Fabaceae
Description: Pisum sativum (pea) long non-coding RNA (PSAT_LNC016712)
Source: RNAcentral